AUGCUAGGUGGUGGGUGGCGCUGCGGUCAGCCGUACACAAGACUAUUUACCUGUAUGGAACUCAGAAAUACAGGGGAGUGCUGUAACUGUGCUGCGUCAUCCAUUCUAAUGUUGUUGGUUACCCGCCUCCCUGCCCCAUGGAAAACAGCUUCAAUAGGAGGAAUCCGUAGCCAGCACAUCAUGCCUUCUGAAUUCUGCAAAUGGUCUGAGAGCUUAGAAGAGGAAAAAAAAGAUGAUCCUGCUCAGCAGAAAUUAACCUACCACUUCAACACUACAGCUGGAUAUUGGCAGGUAGGUACAGAAAUGGUUAUUGAUCUCAAAAAAUUCUCAGAUUUCUCCUCAUGGAUGAGGAAAAGCAGAAGGGACAGUCUCUCCUGGUACAUUUGCAAAGCAGCUCUGUUUGUUGUUUUUGUUUUCUUUAGAACCAAGAUCUCUAUGCCACAAAAUAGCAUAGACUAUGGAAACCCAGGGAAAAUGGUCAUCUGUUACUAA
This 492-nucleotide long non-coding RNA is filed under the name Anser brachyrhynchus (Pink-footed goose). RNAcentral's name for it is "lncRNA (ENSABRG00000007547.1)". Lineage: Eukaryota; Metazoa; Chordata; Aves; Anseriformes; Anatidae. The record is from RNAcentral.